GAUGGAAGUACAUUUUUCUCUUUGAGAGUCAGUGUCCUCCAAGUCAGAGAGGGAGUAGCGACCCAGAAAUGUCCCCAAAUAUGGAAAUAGAAACAUUGGCCAAGGGGAAAGAGAAAUUCGAGCCUCUUCUGUGUCAGUCCAUCGAGCAGAACCACGACCAAGAAGCAUAUGUUAUAGGGAGAUGACUUGGACUCUCAGCGAGGAAGGGCUUGCUUUCUUCUAAUGAGAACUGUUGGAAAAUGGGCCCUGGGGCAGGGGAGAGUGGUCCCCUCACUGGCUUCCAGUAGGCCAGGGGCAGGCGCCCCCUCGGGUACCUCCCAGCAUGUAGUGUGACUCUCCAAUGAGGCAAGGCAGGAGGGACACGACCACCAUGUUCUGAGAGAUGGCUGAGGAGAGGGUCAGCCAGGUGGCUCAUGGCCAGUGUUCCCGGGGCCCAGCCUGAAGGGAGAUGCUCAGCAGGCCGGUUGAGGCCAAUUCUAGUUGCUGGGAAUGGAAUGAAUGAGAGCAGGGAGAGGGAGACUCCGUGGAACCUGACAGAAAGUCCUCCUUCCUUCAGCACUCAGGAGAUGUUCGGAUGGAGACCCUGCCUCAGACAUCUCGGGAUGCUGGUCCACGGAAAACAAUCACAGCCUGGAGCUGAGUGUGUCAAAAUGAAGAACGUGGCCAACCUGCUGCCCAACCGGGGGCCCAGCUUGAGUCCCCAUAUCAGACGGAGGCAGGCUUGCCAGAGACCAGAGCGGCUGCCGAGGUCCUCGUCGGGUCAAGUCAGACAACAGUAAGUCAGGCGUUGCGAGCCAACAAUGUGAGCAUCAACGAUGGUGAAGACGAGGGCUUUUGGAGUCACGCUUUCCUGGGUUCAUAUCUUGGCUCUGCCACCAGCUACUUAGGUUCUCUGGGUCUCAGUUCCCUCAUUUGUAAAAUAAGGAUAAUAAUUGGCUCACCUCAUGACGUUGUUAAUGAGUUGCUACCUCCAGACCUGUGCCUGGCACUCAAUCCGUGCCGUAUAAAUGUGCCUGUUGUCACUGUCUUUUGUCACACCACCAAACUCAUCCUGAGCUCUGACCCAUCCCAUGUCCUGAGUCUUUCCGGGAUCACGGAAAGUCCAGUUUCAGAGAGGCACCCCGUCCAGCCAUUGUCAGACGCCCACUUGGAACAGACUCCCUGAGAAGCCUCGGGGUCUUUGCCCCGUGUGGUGUGGCAGUGAAGCCAAGACACAGAGAGAAUCAGAGACAGAGACAGAGAGACAAAGACAGAGACAACACUCAGAGUAACUGUCCUUUCAGCAUGAAAGCUGGGGAGUGGCUGGGCCCUGGGGUAAGGGUGUGGCUGGGUCCACCUGGCAGGACCGUGGAGCUGAGGCUGAACAGCCAUGGGAAUCCAGGGACCAGGUGGGAUGAGGGACAAUGGGAGCCCUUGAGAACUGCUCCAGCGGAUGUGGACUGAGUACACAGCCAGCUGUCUGUCCAGAGCACAAUGUGGUCUGGACACAGGCAAACAGUCAUGUGAUUCUCGUUCCUUCUAUCAGUGGGAGGAGGGAUGGGAGAGGGGCAGGAGGAAAGAGGUAUCACUUGUUCCUCUUCCACCUGGUACCAGCACCCACAGCCUGGAGGAACCAGGCGACCAGGGACACAUUCCUCAGGGGGGCAGGAGGACAUCAAAGGCCUCCAUGCUGACUGGCUCAGAGCCUAGUCUCCACCCGCCCUUGCUCGGCCACCCGCUGUCCCCCGGCGGGUGAUGUGGGUCACCAUCCUGGGCCUGGCGAGGAGACUGGGGGGCCCAGCCCUGUUCUGAGAUGCGGUGUCUCCCCUACCAGCCACACUCCCAUGCUGGCAGCCCGGUGCAUGCCCCCCCCCACCGACCCACCCCAACUGCCCGGUGUUGAAUGAAGAAACGAUGACAUGAUUGGUUCAAGAGUUUUCUCAGUUGCCUUGGACAUUGCGUCUCUCUUGGAAAACGCUAACCUGUUUUCACAAGCCCUCAACAGAGGCUGUCAGCCCCAUGGACAGUGAGCGAGGCCGUUCCUGCGCCUGUGGGGGGUGAGGACAGGGUCCGGGGCGCAGUGCUCCUGGACCAGGGAGGUGUCCCUGUGCCUCCGGGACUGUCCCAGCUCCCAGUGUCUCCUGGGAUGGCCCAGGGGCUUCUUCUGCCCACAUCCCUACACCGUGGCCCAUACCGGUUCACCCCCACGUGAUUCCAGCUCACCCCGAGCUGGGGGGCUGGGGGGGGCAAAUGGAAACCAGUCUCCGUCCCCAUGCCUUGCACUAGGGCAGGACGAAGUGGCAGUGCCCCGAGCAGAGGCUCCGGCCAAGAGCACAAGCCCAGCCUCUGCCUCCGUCUUCCCUUCCCUGGUCGUGGCCACUGCGAGGCGAGUAGGAUGGAGAGGGAGGGAGAGAACGUGCAGGUUAGGGAUGCAAGGGGGGCUCCCUACAGCCUCUGACCCCAUCAGGAUGGAAGCCUGGCAUGAAGGAGUCGUGUCCCUGCCUCUCCUUCGUAGAGAAAGUGCUGCAGGUUCCCAGAGUUCCAGGCACACUCAUACCCACGUGUAAGGACCCACGCAAAUGCCAAGAAAGCGGCAAAAGCCCUUCUCUGCUUCGUCACCAUUUUCGAUGCACAGAUGCAAAGUCUGUAGGACAGACACUGCCUUGCAUGUGGUGAGGCCUCUGUAAUGUUUAUUGGAAAAAAAUAAAGUCACCGUCCAUGAGAAAGCCAAGCGCAGAGGGUUUUGCUGUAUAUCCUUUUUUAAGUCCCUCUGACUAAUUAAAGUAUUUGUUGAUUUCCAGCCCAUAGUUUCAAUCAACCCAGGGGGAUUUUCAAAGGCUUUGGUGUGCC
Molecule: long non-coding RNA, 2829 nt
Filed under: Canis lupus familiaris (dog)
Lineage: Eukaryota; Metazoa; Chordata; Mammalia; Carnivora; Canidae
Description: lncRNA (ENSCAFG00845024599.1)
Source: RNAcentral